Molecule: long non-coding RNA, 1110 nt
Organism: Dicentrarchus labrax (European seabass)
Lineage: Eukaryota; Metazoa; Chordata; Actinopteri; Moronidae
Exons: 2
Source: RefSeq, a predicted model, not a curated record
CAGCAGAGUUCAAUACACAAACCAGAAACAUUACCUUUAUUCAACAUGCUGUCACUGCACACAACUUUCUCUACUAUUACUCUACUGUACAUCAUAACAGGUGUCAGCUGUGAAGAACUCACUCCAGUAAAGGAUGAAGAGUCCAGUUUAGAAGACAGCACUGUUACUCUGUCCUACACAUACUCUAAACCAGUGGUUCUCAAUUAUUUUCUGUCAUGCCCCCCCUAGAGGAAAGAAAUUUUUUCACGCCCCCCCUGAAUUUUAAUACUAUUGAGAAACUGAUAAUAUUUAUUUAUCGGUACAAACCACUGUAUGAGUUGCUGGCACCAGCAUUCUGCAUACAAUCACCUGAUUAUCAAAAUGGAUUAAUAAAAUGAGCUGAGAUAACAUCUGCAGCAACUUAAAACUAUUUCCAAGUUCAGUUUAUUAACUCAAUUUGUAACAUUUAAACAAGACUGCUCAGUCUGUGUGAUUCUCAAAACAGAGAAAAAAGUGCAAAUGAUUCACUGGGAUGUGCAUUUUUAUAGACUUAACACAGUAACAUUCAAAACUUUUUUAAACUAUAAACACUGGUCACUUGUCAGCUUCAUCAGCUUAUUCCUUUUCAAAAAGAUAUAUGACUUUUUAACAUUUAUUUUUUUGUGCAAAAUUUGCAACAAUAUUACUUAUUUUUAACGUUUGUCUGUUAGAUGUUCUGUGAGUUGUUCUUGAAGGUCGUCUGAAAUGUCAAAUAUACGUCUCCCGAUUGUGUCACUGGAAAGAGGGACAGUAUUCAGUGUCUCAGCACUUUUCUCACCUAUGAUUGUGACCAUGUCCAAUGCUGCCGGAGUAUUAGCUCCUCUGCUAUUGUGUGAUGGUUUUUUGCACCUUGCUAUGUGGCGGUGUUUGUACGAGGCUAACGGUGCGUUUUUAUUUAGGGUUAUUUAGGUCAGUGCUAUGGAUUCAGGUCUAUCUAUUUUUGAAUUUCAUGUAAGUUAUGACACAGCUGCACUUUUAUUUUCUUUAUUUUUGAACUUGCUGUUAUUUGAUGUAGAUAGUUAGUUUGUAUUUAGAUACAACUUGUUACUAUACUGAUACUACUUGUUACUUCAAUAAAUUGGAACAUUUUAA